This is a long non-coding RNA of Gorilla gorilla gorilla (western lowland gorilla), 1022 nucleotides long. RefSeq lists it as uncharacterized. NCBI's taxonomy places the organism in Eukaryota, Metazoa, Chordata, Mammalia, Primates, Hominidae. The record is from RefSeq and is a predicted model, not a curated record. The transcript is spliced from 5 exons.
UCUCCUUUAAAGGAAGAAAUUGCCAUGAGGAAUGUAGUUAUCUGACAGCCUCCAGCUGCCUCAACUUUGAGGUCUUUCGCAGCAUUCACUCAAAGGCCACAUAGUCCUGGUCAAAGACUAAACAUGGCAAAGUUUCUAGAGCUGGUCCAUUCUUGCUCAUCAUAGGAUUCCUGUAAUGGGAAAUCUUUCCCCAAGGGCUCCCCAUCAGCCUAACCAAGACUUUCUCUGAGACUCUUAGUUAUUAUGAUGCUACUUCCACCAGCACCAGGGUUCUUGUUGCUAUCUGGCCGUUGAGUGAUUCAGUCCCACUGAGCAAUGUCAACCUGAUUGUCUUUCUUUGUUUUUAAGAAACAGGGUCUUGCUCUGCUGCCCAGGCUGGAGCACAGUAGUGUGAUCAUAGCUCACUACAGCCUUCAACUCCUGGGCCUUAGCAAUCCUCCUGCCUUAGCCUCCCAAGGAGCUAUGGCUGCAGGUGUCCACCACCACUCAUUGACAGCCACUUCCAGUACUCACUGUCUUGGACACAGACUUGAGUAAAAGUACAGAAACAGGGCCGACAGGACCAGAGGCUCCCCCUCCUGGGUCAGAUUAUGCAGUAAGGAGCUUCACAGAAUAUGACUGGAAAUCCACAUACCCACUUCUCUGUUUAAUUCAGGAAGCAGUUGCUAAACACAACUAACAGAGCAAAGGGCAAGAGGCCUGGAUGAAGAAAUACCCUCAGAAACUCCCACUCUUCUGGUUCCUGCUGAAGACUCCACUAAUAAAAGUUAUUCAUACCUACCUCCACCAUCUUGGCUGGGAAGUCAAGGAAGAAGAUAGCAGCCCGCAACCCAGAAGAGGGCCCUCACCAGAACCUACCAUGCUGGCACCCAGACCUCAGACUUCCAGCCUCCAGAAAUACACCAUCUGGCUGUCACCCAGGCUGGAGUGCAGUGGCCUAGUCACAGCUCACUGCAGCUUCAACUUCCCUGGCUCAAGUGAUCCUCCCUCCUCACCCUACAGGCAUGCACCACCGUGCCCAG